This 179-nucleotide ribosomal RNA is filed under the name Simplicispira metamorpha. Lineage: Bacteria; Pseudomonadati; Pseudomonadota; Betaproteobacteria; Burkholderiales; Comamonadaceae. The record is from RNAcentral.
CCUGAUGACCAUAGCAAGUCGGUACCACUCCUUCCCAUCCCGAACAGGACAGUGAAACGACUUCGCGCCGAUGAUAGUGCGGGUUCCCGUGUGAAAGUAGGUCAUCGUCAGGCACCAAUAGCCUCCAAACCCCCCCGUAACCUCACAAACAGGUCACGGGGGGUUUCGGUUUUGGGGGG